UAACACAUGCAAGUCGAACGGUAACAGGAAGAAGCUUGCUUCUUUGCUGACGAGUGGCGGACGGGUGAGUAAUGUCUGGGAAACUGCCUGAUGGAGGGGGAUAACUACUGGAAACGGUAGCUAAUACCGCAUAACGUCGCAAGACCAAAGAGGGGGACCUUCGGGCCUCUUGCCAUCGGAUGUGCCCAGAUGGGAUUAGCUAGUAGGUGGGGUAACGGCUCACCUAGGCGACGAUCCCUAGCUGGUCUGAGAGGAUGACCAGCCACACUGGAACUGAGACACGGUCCAGACUCCUACGGGAGGCAGCAGUGGGGAAUAUUGCACAAUGGGCGCAAGCCUGAUGCAGCCAUGCCGCGUGUAUGAAGAAGGCCUUCGGGUUUGUAAAGUACUUUCAGCGGGGAGGAAGGGAGUAAAGUUAAUACCUUUGCUCAUUGACGUUACCCGCAGAAGAAGCACCGGCUAACUCCGUGCCAGCAGCCGCGGUAAUACGGAGGGUGCAAGCGUUAAUCGGAAUUACUGGGCGUAAAGCGCACGCAGGCGGUUUGUUAAGUCAGAUGUGAAAUCCCCGGGCUCAACCUGGGAACUGCAUCUGAUACUGGCAAGCUUGAGUCUCGUAGAGGGGGGUAGAAUUCCAGG
RNAcentral lists this ribosomal RNA (636 nucleotides) under uncultured Pseudomonadota bacterium. RNAcentral's name for it is "bacterial SSU rRNA". It matches the Rfam family "Bacterial small subunit ribosomal RNA", at positions 49 to 673 of the family's 1533-position model. Lineage: Bacteria; Pseudomonadati; Pseudomonadota. The record is from RNAcentral.